Molecule: ribosomal RNA, 461 nt
Filed under: uncultured bacterium
Lineage: Bacteria
Description: bacterial SSU rRNA
Rfam family: Bacterial small subunit ribosomal RNA
Source: RNAcentral
UAUGUCGCAAGCGUUAUCCGGAAUUAUUGGGCAUAAAGGGCAUCUAGGCGGCCAGACAAGUCUGGGGUGAAAACUUGCGGCUCAACCGCAAGCCUGCCCUGGAAACUGUUUGGCUAGAGUGCUGGAGAGGUGGACGGAACUGCACGAGUAGAGGUGAAAUUCGUAGAUAUGUGCAGGAAUGCCGAUGAUGAAGAUAGUUCACUGGACGGUAACUGACGCUGAAGUGCGAAAGCUGGGGGAGCGAACAGGAUUAGAUACCCUGGUAGUCCCAGCCGUAAACGAUGAUUACUGGGUGUGGGCAUGAAGAGUGUCCGUGCCGAAGCUAAUGCGAUAAGUAAUCCGCCUGGGGAGUACGGCCGCAAGGCUGAAACUCAAAGGAAUUGACGGGGACCCGCACAAGCGGUGGAGCAUGUGGUUUAAUUYGACGCAACGCGAGGAACCUUACCAGAUCUUGACAUCCC